AGGAGCAUUGAUGUAUGUACGAAGCCUAUGUUAGCUGAUGUAACAUUUGUAUACUUAUAUCGAAUCUCUCUCUCACUGUUAAAAUCAUAUAUCGUGAUCAGAAGAGGUAAAUAUACUUUUCUUUUUUUGUCUUUUAUUUAUGUAUUGCCAACAAAGAUAAUGGAUACGUGUUUCAAACUGUCAAAUCGCGAUGUGAAAUCAGUCUGCAUCAUGGCGUAUCUAUAAUAACUAUACCGAGUGAUUCGAAAUUGAACGAAAAUAGUCGAUGGAAAAAAGUGAAUGUAAAAAAUGGUGAACAGAGAAAGAAAUUAAAUAAAAGAAAUAAAAUAUAAAAAAUACAGAAAAAAUACAGAGACAGAAGAGAGAGAGACUGAAUCUCAUUCAAAAAUGUAAAGAAUAGCACAGGAUAGAAAAAAAGUGAUUAGUGCCAAUCAAUGCUACUUUGAAUAUUAUUUUUAUGGCAUACUGUGUUAAUCCAAUCACACGGAUGCGUUAAUUGAUAUAAUAAAUGUGACAGUGACCAUCAUUAAUAGCUGUGGAAUAUCACGACACAUUUCACCUUUCUAUCCGUUUUCAUUUCUAUAUAUACCUACACUUAACCUAUAGAUUUAUGGAUAUUUGCUUCACUAUAACUGCAGAUUUUCCUAUUAGUUUCUUUCUAGUUUUAUUUCUAAUUUCUCUUUCUCUUUGCAGUUAUAUGCAGUAUCCUUUCUUCUAUUCUUAUAGAAUUUUAAGGUUGUCGUAGUCAUAAAUUACGUUAAAAAGAUAUCAUUGAAUUGAAGUCAUCACAAAUUUUCUGCAUCAUAUUAACGAAAAUUAUAUAUAAUACGUAAUACGUAAUGAAUAUAUUUCUUUCAAAAAAGAAUCGUCUUUCAUUAACAAAAUAUGAUCGAAAACAAUCUAUGACGUCAGAGAAUAUAUGAAAGUAAAAGAUUUCAGAUUUUACGGCAGCUGAACGUGACUAGAAAGAGCGUUACGGCCAAUUUAAUAGCAUUCAUGCGAGAAUUGACACUUGACACGUGGUGCCGUUUGACCGAAGGUCGAUCGUUAUUCAGGAUUAAGCAUGCGCGUGAAAACAGCGCCAAAAUCACUGGACUUGGCUAACCGACCGUUGUUUUCAUAUUCUUUAAAACAUUGUUUAUAAUAACUUUGCCUUUUUUCAUUAUUUUACAACCUUCGAGAAUAUUUAUCUGAAAUUCUGCAAUAAUGCAUGACGAUAGUAUAAAAGAGAAACAAAAUUAAAAAACUAGUAAAGGAAUUUUGAGGAUAAUCACUUGCAGCCAAUCGGUCAUCGACCUUUGCCUUGCAACGUAUAUGUAAAUAUAAUAUACGUUUUGCACGCUAGAUGUCGCUCAUUAUGCGUUUUAAAUGGUAAUCUCAAGAAAUUAUAAAUUAUACUAUGGAUUAAAAUGAAAACAAUAAAUACUAUGUGAAGCUUGCAUUCAACGUACUAAAGCAAGAAAGAUUUCUUGCUCGUUCCGCCUAUCUUUAUCUUUAUUACUUAUUCAUUAUCACUAUAUUUUAUUUAGUUUCUUAAACUUAUUUCCUCUUUUUACUACGCAUCGAACUAAUGUGAUAUUUUCUGCCAAUAGGGAAAAUAUGUGUGACAAGGUCAUUUUAAGUAAGAGUAAGACAGCGUUCCAGCCAAUUAGACCGACAUUCCUUUCCAGUGCAAAAACUCUUGAGCUUCAAUACAUUUUUGUGAUGUUUCCCUACAUCUUCUUGAUUUCUAGAAAAUUAGAACUAGAAUCAUACUAUUAUUAAUCUGCUAUGUUAAUCAUGAUCACAUUUUAAUAUUCCGAUUUUUUUCUAUGAACGACGUUCAUAGAUUCAACAAAUAAACGAAUAUCAAUAUUUAAGAUAUUGUUGUUCACUCUUUGGAUCAAUAAGAAUCAAUAUGACAGGCCCAAUCGACGGGUCCACAGGUUAUAGUUUCUUUUCACAAGAUGUAAAAGGAGACGAUCUUGUAUUAGUAACUGUAAGCAACUUCACCUUCCAUCAGCAGGGGGCAACAAGCCUGUCAGACAACGAUGCGGACACAACAAUAAUAACACAAGACGGAGAACACGCGAGAAAUGGACAUAGAAAAUUUCUAUAUAUAUAUAGUAUGUUAGUAAUAUUCUUGACUAGAAGAAAAUACAGUGAGUUGAAAAAA
This 2155-nucleotide long non-coding RNA is filed under the name Apis florea (little honeybee). Its description in RNAcentral is "uncharacterized LOC116414329, transcript variant X1". The record is from RNAcentral. Lineage: Eukaryota; Metazoa; Arthropoda; Insecta; Hymenoptera; Apidae.